AUUAAACGCUGGCGGCAGGCCUAACACAUGCAAGUCGGACGGUAGCACAGAGAGCUUGCUCUCGGGUGACGAGUGGCGGACGGGUGAGUAAUGUCUGGGGAUCUGCCCGAUAGAGGGGGAUAACCACUGGAAACGGUGGCUAAUACCGCAUAACGUCGCAAGACCAAAGAGGGGGACCUUCGGGCCUCUCACUAUCGGAUGAACCCAGAUGGGAUUAGCUAGUAGGCGGGGUAACGGCCCACCUAGGCGACGAUCCCUAGCUGGUCUGAGAGGAUGACCAGCCACACUGGAACUGAGACACGGGCCAGAGUCCUACGGGAGGCAGCAGUGGGGAAUAUUGAACAAUGGGCGCAAGCCUGAUGCAGCCAUGCCGCGUGUAUGAAGAAGGCCUUCGGGUUGUAAAGUACUUUCAGCGGGGAGGAAGGCGAUAAGGUUAAUAACCUUGUCGACUGACGUUACCCGCAGAAGAAGCACCGGCUAACUCCGUGCCAGCCGCCGCCGUAA
This 504-nucleotide ribosomal RNA is filed under the name uncultured bacterium. RNAcentral describes it as "partial 16S ribosomal RNA". It matches the Rfam family "Bacterial small subunit ribosomal RNA", at positions 29 to 523 of the family's 1533-position model. The record is from RNAcentral.